AUUGAACGCUGGCGGCAGGCCUAACACAUGCAAGUCGAGCGAGCGGAGGACGGGUGAGAAAUGUCUGGGAAACUGCCUGAUGGAGGGGGAUAACUCCUGGAAAAGGUAGCUAAUACCGCAUACCAUCAGAUGUGCCCAGAUGGGAUUAGCUAGUAGGUGGGGGAACGGCUCACCUAGGCGACGAUCCCUAGCUGGUCUGAGAGGAUGACCAGCCACACUGGAACUGAUACACGGUCCAGACUCCUACGGGAGGCAGCAGUAGGGAAUAUUGCACAAUGGGCGCAAGCCUGAUGCAGCCAUGCCGCGUGUGUGAGGAAGGCCUUCGGGUUGUAAAACACUUUCAGCGGGGAGGCGUUACCCGCAGAAGAAGCACCGGCUAACUCCGUGCCAGCAGCCGCGGUAAUUC
This 406-nucleotide ribosomal RNA is filed under the name uncultured bacterium. RNAcentral's name for it is "partial 16S ribosomal RNA". It matches the Rfam family "Bacterial small subunit ribosomal RNA", at positions 30 to 526 of the family's 1533-position model. The record is from RNAcentral.